This 589-nucleotide ribosomal RNA is filed under the name uncultured eukaryote. Its description in RNAcentral is "bacterial SSU rRNA". It matches the Rfam family "Eukaryotic small subunit ribosomal RNA", at positions 535 to 1121 of the family's 1831-position model. The record is from RNAcentral.
UAACGAGGAACGAUCGAGGGCAAGUCUGGUGCCAGCAGCCGCGGUAAGUUCCAGCUCCAAUAGCGUACGUUAAAGUUGCUGCAGUUAAAAAGCUCGUAGUUGAACGUUCGGGUUCCGCGGGACGGGGCCGCCCCGCGAGGGACGGCGCCGCCCCCGGGGCUCGUGAUAUCUUAUCUCGCCGCCCGUCGCGAGGCGGACGGAGGGAUGGAUGAGGUUACCUGGAAAAAAUCGGGGCGAUCUAGGCGGGCGAACCUCGCCAACGAACGAUCGGACAUGGGAUAACGGAAGAGGGCGUCGGCUCGACUUCGUCGGUUCCUCGGGCCGAGGCACGUACGGUGAAUAGGGACGGUCGGGGCCGCCCGUACCGGGUCGUGAGAGGUGAAAUUCUAGGAUCGACCCGAGACGAACUGCCGCGAAAGCAUUCGGCAAGGACGCUUUCAUUAAUCAAGAACGAAAGUCGGGGGAUCGAAGACGAUCAGAUACCGUCGUAGUCCCGACCGUAAACGAUGCCGACCGAGGGCCCGGAGGAGUUACGUACGACCCUCCGGGCCCUCCCGCGAGAAAUCAGGAGUAUUCGGGUUCCGGGGGG